This 396-nucleotide ribosomal RNA is filed under the name uncultured bacterium. RNAcentral describes it as "partial 16S ribosomal RNA". It matches the Rfam family "Bacterial small subunit ribosomal RNA", at positions 523 to 918 of the family's 1533-position model. The record is from RNAcentral.
CUACGUAGGGGGCAAGCGUUAUCCGGUUUUACUGGGUGUAAAGGGAGCGUAGACGGUAAAGCAAGUCUGAAGUGAAAGCUCGGGGCUCAACCCCGGAACUGCUUUGGAAACUGUUUUACUGGAGUGCAGGAGAGGUAAGCGGAAUGCCUAGUGUAGCGGUGAAAUGCGUAGAUAUUAGGAGGAACACCAGAGGCGAAGGCGGCUUACUGGACUGUAACUGACGUUGAGGCUCGAAGGCGUGGGGAGCAAACAGGAUUAGAUACCCUGGUAGUCCACGCGGUAAACGAUGAUCACUAGGUGUCGGCGGCCAUAGGCGGUCGGUGCCGCAGCAAACGCAAUAAGUGAUCCACCUGGGGAGUACGUUCGCAAGAAUGAAACUUAAAGGAAUUGGCGGGG